GCUGACGAGUGGCGCACGGGUGAGUAAACUAUAGUUAAUGUACCCCAAAGACUGGGAUAGCCACUGGAAACGGUGAUUAAUACUAGAUACACCUUCUUAUCAUAAGGUAAGAAGGGAAAUGUCUUUUCGCUUUGGGAUCAGACUAUAUCCUAUCAGCUAGUUGGUGAGGUAAUGGCUCACCAAGGCAAUGACGGGUAGCGGUUCUGAGAGGAUGAUCCGCCACACUGGUACUGAGACACGGACCAGACUCCUACGGGAGGCAGCAGUGAGGAAUAUUGCACAAUGGGCGAAAGCCUGAUGCAGCAACGCCGCGUGGAGGAUGACGCAUUUCGGUGUGUAAACUCCUUUUAUAUGUCAAGAGAAUGACGGUAGCAUAUGAAUAAGCACCGGCUAACUCCGUGCCAGCAGCCGCGGUAAUACGGAGGGUGCAAGCGUUACUCGGAAUCACUGGGCGUAAAGGACGCGUAGGCUGUUUAGCAAGUCAGAUGUGAAAUCCAAUGGCUCAACCAUUGAACUGCAUUUGAAACUGCUAGACUAGAGUAUGGGAGGGGGAGAUGGAAUUAG
RNAcentral lists this ribosomal RNA (564 nucleotides) under uncultured bacterium. RNAcentral describes it as "bacterial SSU rRNA". It matches the Rfam family "Bacterial small subunit ribosomal RNA", at positions 87 to 670 of the family's 1533-position model. The record is from RNAcentral.